Molecule: non-coding RNA, 2974 nt
Organism: Equus caballus (horse)
Lineage: Eukaryota; Metazoa; Chordata; Mammalia; Perissodactyla; Equidae
Source: RefSeq, a predicted model, not a curated record
UGGUGGUUUCCCUACGGAUGGGAGUGACUAAGGUGACCUGCCGGGGCCAUUUUCAUUUCACUUCAGCUGAAUUGCUUCCUUGAUUAAGUUAUUUCUGCGUGUAUUUCCUUCGGCCGGUAAGACAGGUUGCGUCGUUCGGUCCUAGAACACGCUUGUCACGUGUGUCCUUUUAAAGGUUGCGGUGGGCAGGCAGGCACCGUGAAGCUGACGGUGGUCGUUAACGGGACCUCGAUGGCAAGCAGGAAGGAGAUUUUUCUCUUCUUCUUGGAAGCUCGUCUGCCCCUAACACCACUAACGGAAGAGAGAUGUGCGGCUAUUCGGGUACCGUAGGACACUGUCCUUCACAGCGUUCUGGACUAAGGGAUGGAUCGCAGCUGCCCGUCAGCAGCUGACGGUGAGCCUAUCAGUGGCAGUGCACGGUGGACGUCGUUGGGGUGGAGGUAGGCGAGGCUGUGGGCCUAGAGCACGGCACAGGACCGUCUGACAUUCACAGAUCUCGGUGGGCGGUCAAGAGAGGAUGGGGGCCGUCACAAUGGCGUAGAUCUGAGAGGGCUGCAGGAGUCCAGGUCGGGACGACGGUGUCGCCGUGGUGGCCCCACGGCAGUUGUUCAUGUGGACCUAGACCGCAGCACAGGUCUUCUCAUCUGCAGGUACCUAGGUUCAUGUCCAGAGAUCGUGGUGAACCCUGACAGUGGUUGUUGACAGGAGACGUUAUAGGUAUCCAGGUAAGUGAUGGUGUGCACCUCCCCCACAUCACAGAUCAUCCAGGCUUCACAUACUUAGGGAAGGGAAGUUUGUUUGCCUAAUCUUGUUUACCAGGUGAUUUUUUUAUAGGUCUUCAGGUAAGAAAUGAGUGUUUUACCAAUUCCAGAAGCCAUGUUACCCUACUGUUUUAUAUUUUAGAAAAAAGUCAUGUUUAACCAUGUGAUUGUUGAGUGAUUUGCAGAUAUCCAUGUAAUUGUCAUGAAGCUGUGAGUCACAGUAGUAACCAUGGUUUUCUUGAAGGUGAGCAUUCAAGUGAUGAUAGCGUCUCUAACCAUGGUGUAGACCUUGGAGUACUGCAAGAUUCUGGGUAGAUUGGAUGAGUCCUGCGGUGAUGGUAAUGAAUAAGGUUAUUUUCGGGGUCCAGGUAAUAAAGAUGUGUCCAUAGACACAUUUGUUACAAUGUAUUUUGCAAGUUACUGUUAAGACAUCAUGCUAAACCUCAUAAAGUUCAUUAAAGUGAUUUUGUUUGUAUCCAGAUAAGUGCUGAUGUGGGCUUUUGACAUGCCACCCACCCUCUGAUCUUUAGAUAUCUAGCUAAGUGAUGAUGGUGUUCUAACAUUUGUGUUGCCGUCUUUUCUUGCAGGUAUUCAGGUAAGAAAUGAUAUUGUCCCAGGCAAUGCUAGUAAGCAUUAGCCCAUAUUAUUUUAGAAUUUAAAUAUAAUGUUUGUAUAACCUUAGUAGUAACUGAGGGAUUAUGUAGAUGUCCACAUAAAUUAUCAUUUUGUCCAUCACCUCCUUAUUGACCAUGGCUUUUUUGUAAUUAUUUCAAGACGGGAUUGUAUCUCUAACUAGGGUGUUGGCCUUGAGCUUCUGCAAGUUUCAAGGUAGAGUUGAUGGACCCCGUAAAUUUGAUGAGAUUUUGCCAGGUUUUCAGAUGUCUACCCAAAAGGAGAUGAUGUCUCAAUCCAAGUUCUUGACGCUGGAUUUUUGCAAGUAUCUGGGUAGAUUUUAUGCUUCCCUUUAAGUUUGUAGUGCUUACAGGAUUUUCAGGUAUCCAGGUUGUAGAUUUGUUCUUAAAUGCUGUUGUCUCUUUGGUUUUUGUAGCUUCCAGUUAAGGGAUUUUUGAGAACCUUUGUAUGGUAUCAAAGGUUAAUUUUGCUUGCAUCCAAUUAAAAGAUGAUGAUGUUUGUACCAAAGUUGGAGCUCAUGAGAUUUUGCAGAUAUCCACAUAAGCAAUGAUAGUGUUUGUAAGCCAACAUGGAGAUCAUGUUUAUUUGCAAGUAUUCUUGUACGUUGUGUUGACUAACCACCUUAGUGAUCAGGGGAAUUUUGCAGAUAUGUUGUCACACUUGUGAAGAUGUCUCUAACUAAGGUGUUUUCUUUGGAUAUUUGUAGAUAUCCAGGUAAAAGUUGAUGGUGUCUCUAAUCAAGCUAAUGACCAUGGGAUUUUGCAGUUAUCCAGGCAAGAGAUGCUGUGCCCCUACCGUGAUACUGACCCUGGGCAAUUCUAAGUGUUCAGGUAAGAGAUGGUAUUUGUCUGAUUGCAUUAGUGACCAUGGAGGUCUUUGCUGAUAUGCAGGCAGAAGAUGAUUGUGCCUGUAUCUACAGUACUGACCUUUGAAUUUUGCAUGUAUCCAGGUAAGAGCUAAUCUCUCCCUUACUGUGCUAGUGGCCUUGGGAUAAUUUGGUUGUCCAGGUAAGGAGUGAUGUGUCCUUAACCAUGUUAGUUACCAUGGGAUUUUGCAGGUAUCCAGAUAGGAGAUGAUGGUGGCCCUAACCAUGGUAUUGACCAGGGGAUUCUGCAGGUAUCUAGGUAAGAAGUCUUGCAUCUACAACUAUGUGUUUUGUCCUCAGAUUUUUUAGGUAGUCUUGGAAGAGAUGAUGGUGUUCUUAACAAUAAUGACCAUAGGAUUUUGCAGAAACCCACUCAAAAGAUGACAUCUCUAUCAACAUUGGUGUCCAUGGGAAUGAACGAAAAAUGGAAUACAUUUUUUGGCUAGCUGUAUAUUUUGUUAAAAGAAUUUUAACAUUCAAUGACUAUUAAAUAUUAUUCACAAUCCUAUUUCCUUAUAUCCAUUUCUUUAUUUGUUCAAUUUCUCCAUAAUGACAUUUGCACCAGGAAUCUUAGGCCCACAUUUAUGAAAUAUUUUAAUAUCUAGGAGCCAUCAGUACAGACAUCCUUCAUGUAAAAUUGGCAAUUCCUAAAGAAAAUUAGGCUAUAGAUCCUUAUAUAGUUUUUUUUUUUCUGCUUUAUUUCCCCAAACCUCCC